AACGAACGCUGGCGGCAUGCCUAACACAUGCAAGUCGAACGAAACCUUCGGGGCUAGUGGCGCACGGGUGCGUAACGCGUGGGAACCUGCCCUUAGGUUCGUAAUAACUCCCCGAAAGGGGUGCUAAUACCGGUUAAUGUCUUCGGACCAAAGAUUUAUCGCCUUUUGAUGGGCCCGCGUUGGAUUAGCUAGUUGGUAGGGUAAUAGCCUACCAAGGCGACGAUCCAUAGCUGGUCUGAGAGGAUGAUCAGCCACACUGGGACUGAGACACGGCCCAGACUCCUACGGGAGGCAGUAGUGGGGAAUAUUGGACAAUGGACGAAAGUCUGAUAAAGCAAUGCCGCGUGAGUGAUGAAGGCCUUAGGGUUGUAAAGCUCGUUUAUCCGGGAUGAUAAUGACAGUACCGGAAGAAUAAGCACCGGCUAACUCCGUG
RNAcentral lists this ribosomal RNA (433 nucleotides) under uncultured bacterium. RNAcentral's name for it is "partial 16S ribosomal RNA". It matches the Rfam family "Bacterial small subunit ribosomal RNA", at positions 29 to 507 of the family's 1533-position model. The record is from RNAcentral.